UGGUAGGUACAUUUGGUUUCCGUUUUAAAAUAUCAUAUGUUAUAGUGUGAUCCUCAUACAAUGUUUUCAAUCCAAGGACCAAUGAUACAAACAAUAAAUACAGAAAAGGGAACUGCACAACCACAAAAUAUGGAUGUGCCUAGAAAAAUCGCUACAUGUGAUUAUGCAGCGCAAAAAAAUCUAAAGUCAGUCUACACUUCCAUCCCCCGGUAAAGUGAAACAACUUGUACAUUCAACACCAACAAAUCUAAUACAGAAAACCAGUAAGUUAAUUUAGACGAAUAAAUUGCACAUUUCUUGGCCUAAAAACUUUAUGGAAACUUACGAUGCAAAUUAGAAGAAAAAAAGAACGAGAAUGAC
This 360-nucleotide long non-coding RNA is filed under the name Actinidia chinensis (golden kiwifruit). Its description in RNAcentral is "long non-coding RNA (ACHI_LNC005697)". Lineage: Eukaryota; Viridiplantae; Streptophyta; Magnoliopsida; Ericales; Actinidiaceae. The record is from RNAcentral.